RNAcentral lists this ribosomal RNA (2919 nucleotides) under Salmonella enterica subsp. enterica serovar Adjame. RNAcentral's name for it is "23S ribosomal RNA". It matches the Rfam family "Bacterial large subunit ribosomal RNA". The record is from RNAcentral. Lineage: Bacteria; Pseudomonadati; Pseudomonadota; Gammaproteobacteria; Enterobacterales; Enterobacteriaceae.
GGGUUGUGAGGUUAAGCGACUAAGCGUACACGGUGGAUGCCCGGCAGUCAGAGGCGAUGAAGGGCGUGCUAAUCUGCGAUAAGCGCCGGUAAGGUGAUAUGAACCGUUAUAACCGGCGAUACCCGAAUGGGGAAACCCAGUGUGAUUCGUCACACUAUCAUUAACUGAAUCCAUAGGUUAAUGAGGCGAACCGGGGAACUGAAACAUCUAAGUACCCCGAGGAAAAGAAAUCAACCGAGAUUCCCCAGUAGCGGCGAGCGAACGGGGAGGAGCCCAGAGCCUGAAUCAGCAUGUGUGUUAGUGGAAGCGUCUGGAAAGGCGCGCGAUACAGGGUGACAGCCCCGUACACAAAAGCGCAUGUGCUGUGAGCUCGAUGAGUAGGGCGGGACACGUGGUAUCCUGUCUGAAUAUGGGGGGACCAUCCUCCAAGGCUAAAUACUCCUGACUGACCGAUAGUGAACCAGUACCGUGAGGGAAAGGCGAAAAGAACCCCGGCGAGGGGAGUGAAAAAGAACCUGAAACCGUGUACGUACAAGCAGUGGGAGCACCCUUCGGGGUGUGACUGCGUACCUUUUGUAUAAUGGGUCAGCGACUUAUAUUCUGUAGCAAGGUUAACCGUAUAGGGGAGCCGCAGGGAAACCGAGUCUUAACCGGGCGUUAAGUUGCAGGGUAUAGACCCGAAACCCGGUGAUCUAGCCAUGGGCAGGUUGAAGGUUGGGUAACACUAACUGGAGGACCGAACCGACUAAUGUUGAAAAAUUAGCGGAUGACCUGUGGCUGGGGGUGAAAGGCCAAUCAAACCGGGAGAUAGCUGGUUCUCCCCGAAAGCUAUUUAGGUAGCGCCUCGUGAAUUCAUCUCCGGGGGUAGAGCACUGUUUCGGCUAGGGGGCCAUCCCGGCUUACCAACCCGAUGCAAACUGCGAAUACCGGAGAAUGUUAUCACGGGAGACACACGGCGGGUGCUAACGUCCGUCGUGAAGAGGGAAACAACCCAGACCGCCAGCUAAGGUCCCAAAGUCAUGGUUAAGUGGGAAACGAUGUGGGAAGGCCCAGACAGCCGGAUGUUGGCUUAGAAGCAGCCAUCAUUUAAAGAAAGCGUAAUAGCUCACUGGUCGAGUCGGCCUGCGCGGAAGAUGUAACGGGGCUAAACCAUGCACCGAAGCUGCGGCAGCGACACUGUGUGUUGUUGGGUAGGGGAGCGUUCUGUAAGCCUGCGAAGGUGGCCUGUGAGGGUUGCUGGAGGUAUCAGAAGUGCGAAUGCUGACAUAAGUAACGAUAAAGCGGGUGAAAAGCCCGCUCGCCGGAAGACCAAGGGUUCCUGUCCAACGUUAAUCGGGGCAGGGUGAGUCGACCCCUAAGGCGAGGCCGAAAGGCGUAGUCGAUGGGAAACGGGUUAAUAUUCCCGUACUUGGUGUUACUGCGAAGGGGGGACGGAGAAGGCUAUGUUGGCCGGGCGACGGUUGUCCCGGUUUAAGCGUGUAGGUGUGUGUUCCAGGUAAAUCCGGUUCACUUUAACACUGAGGCGUGACGACGAGGCACUACGGUGCUGAAGCAACAAAUGCCCUGCUUCCGGAAAAGCCUCUAAGCAUCAGGUAACAUCAAAUCGUACCCCAAACCGACACAGGUGGUCAGGUAGAGAAUACCAAGGCGCUUGAGAGAACUCGGGUGAAGGAACUAGGCAAAAUGGUGCCGUAACUUCGGGAGAAGGCACGCUGACACGUAGGUGAAGUGAUUUACUCAUGGAGCUGAAGUCAGUCGAAGAUACCAGCUGGCUGCAACUGUUUAUUAAAAACACAGCACUGUGCAAACACGAAAGUGGACGUAUACGGUGUGACGCCUGCCCGGUGCCGGAAGGUUAAUUGAUGGGGUCAGCGCAAGCGAAGCUCCUGAUCGAAGCCCCGGUAAACGGCGGCCGUAACUAUAACGGUCCUAAGGUAGCGAAAUUCCUUGUCGGGUAAGUUCCGACCUGCACGAAUGGCGUAAUGAUGGCCGUGCUGUCUCCACCCGAGACUCAGUGAAAUUGAACUCGCUGUGAAGAUGCAGUGUACCCGCGGCAAGACGGAAAGACCCCGUGAACCUUUACUAUAGCUUGACACUGAACAUUGAGCCUUGAUGUGUAGGAUAGGUGGGAGGCUUUGAAGUGUGGACGCCAGUCUGCAUGGAGCCGACCUUGAAAUACCACCCUUUAAUGUUUGAUGUUCUAACGUGGACCCGUAAUCCGGGUUGCGGACAGUGUCUGGUGGGUAGUUUGACUGGGGCGGUCUCCUCCUAAAGAGUAACGGAGGAGCACGAAGGUUGGCUAAUCCGGUCGGACAUCAGGAGGUUAGUGCAAUGGCAUAAGCCAGCUUGACUGCGAGCGUGACGGCGCGAGCAGGUGCGAAAGCAGGUCAUAGUGAUCCGGUGGUUCUGAAUGGAAGGGCCAUCGCUCAACGGAUAAAAGGUACUCCGGGGAUAACAGGCUGAUACCGCCCAAGAGUUCAUAUCGACGGCGGUGUUUGGCACCUCGAUGUCGGCUCAUCACAUCCUCGGGCUGAAGUAGGUCCCAAGGGUAUGGCUGUUCGCCAUUUAAAGUGGUACGCGAGCUGGGUUUAGAACGUCGUGAGACAGUUCGGUCCCUAUCUGCCGUGGGCGCUGGAGAACUGAGGGGGCUGCUCCUAGUACGAGAGGACCGGAGUGGACGCAUCACUGGUGUUCGGGUUGUCAUGCCAAUGGCACUGCCCGGUAGCUAAAUGCGGAAGAGAUAAGUGCUGAAAGCAUCUAAGCACGAAACUUGCCCCGAGAUGAGUUCUCCCUGAGACUUAGAGUCUCCUGAAGGAACGUUGAAGACGACGACGUUGAUAGGCCGGGUGUGUAAGCGCAGCGAUGCGUUGAGCUAACCGGUACUAAUGAACCGUGAGGCUUAACCUUACAACGCCGAAG